This is a long non-coding RNA of Helianthus annuus (common sunflower), 431 nucleotides long. RefSeq lists it as uncharacterized. Lineage: Eukaryota; Viridiplantae; Streptophyta; Magnoliopsida; Asterales; Asteraceae. The record is from RefSeq and is a predicted model, not a curated record. The transcript is spliced from 3 exons.
AUAUAUUAUAUAUGACCUGCUGGAAUUCUUGGUUAUUGGUAUUUAUUCAUCAGAAAAUUUGUAAUGUUAAUAUUGAUUACCUUAACAUUGUUGUUUUUUUGUAGGUUGAUGCUCUUAAAAUGCCACUUGAAGCAAAGAAAGUGGUUGCUAAUGUCUAUGUUGCAAUGCGUUACUGGCACCCAUUUACUGAGGAAGUUGUUCAGUAGUCAACAAGAUAGGGAGAGAGGUUAAGGCUUGAUAAGGAGGAGAUAGAAAAGCAAAGACAAAAAGGUUAUGGGGUGCGCAAACGCAACGAUCUUUGCAGAAUUCUGAAAUCGGUGGUGAGUGUGAAAGAAUGCCUGAACUGAUCAUUCGCUAUUUGUUAAGUUUCGUUUUACAUUAGUUACUAGAUCAUUUGGUAAAUGAGAUUACAUGCGUUUAGGUAAACAUGG